Molecule: long non-coding RNA, 10264 nt
Filed under: Elaeis guineensis (African oil palm)
Lineage: Eukaryota; Viridiplantae; Streptophyta; Magnoliopsida; Arecales; Arecaceae
Description: long non-coding RNA (EGUI_LNC004755)
Source: RNAcentral
GGGUUCAAAAGAAGUCGUUGAGAACAAGAAGACUUGCCUGCACCAACAUUUUAAGAGUAGGUCACUGAUUUAGUGCAGUGAUGGUGAUGGAUUGGGAAGGCAGUAAUUGCUAGCUAGGCAGUGGAUCUACCAAAAGAUUCUUCAAUGGAGGGAAAAACUGAGCAUUCAUUAAUAUUGGAAUAAUAAACUUAUUAGACUAGUCUUCAUAUGGAAGUUUGCUGAAACUAAUUAGGGAGUAGGAAGAUGAUUGGCUGCCAGAGUAGACUUAUCGUAACCUCAAUGUUUCAUCACAUUUGCAAUGAAUUUUCUAGGUUGGAUAUCGCUGGACUGGCAAAUUUUGAGAUGCAUGAGCUACCCACGUACUGAUGGAGCUGGAAUAACUUUACCGGUUGACCAUUGAAAUGGGGAAGAUAAUGGCGAAUUCACUUGUACAUGUAGCUAGUAGCUUCAGUCUCCCACAGCUCUGCUUACUGGGUCCUGCGCAGGUCUAAAGAGGUUGCAUGGAGUAAAGCUUCUCACAUGAACAAAUAUGGUACAAGAGGACGAGCUACACAAUAUAAUCAUCCAAUGAUCGGUAGGGUAUCUUAAUGACUCACCACAAAUGUAUCGUUUAUGCUUUCUAUCCUUGAUAAAGAAAAAAAAAUUGAUCAGACUGCAAAGCUAGAUUGUGGGGCAGACCAAUGUGAUUAAAUUAUUUAUGAUAUUGAUUUUUCUUUUUCUAAUAUUUAAGAAUGUUUAGGAUGCUUAUUUUUUGAGUGGAGCUCAACUUCAUCCAGAUAACUCUUUUGUUGGUGCAAAUGAAGUGAUAGAUAUUAAAAAAUUAUCCGACCAUUUUUAUUCAUAUUAAAGCAAUCAUUGAGUGAAUGGCAGAUUCAUCCAUAUCCUCUUACCAUGCCUACUAAUUUGCCUGACACCAGCUGCUCAUUGGAAUGCAUGAUGGUUUGUUGCAAUCUUUCUUUGACAUUUGGUUUGCUGUGAAUACUUUUUUAAAUUUAAAAAUGGUUUUCUAGAGUAUGAGGCUCCUAUUGCUGUAGAGCUAGGGUUAGAUUUAUGCGAGAGCUUUUAUGGGCUUAUAUAUAAAAUAGUCUCUACAAACUUAUGUAUAGGAUAGUUUUUAUAUGUAAGUUUAUGGAGGCUAUCCGAUAUAAAUUUAUGUGUAACCCUAUAGGUAAAGUUAUUUUUAUAUAAAUUUUUUGUGUUACAUCUUUUCUUCCUAUGUUUGUUGGAUUCUUUUGUUUCACCUCAACAUUUUUUAAAAUUUUUGUUGCAAGAAGAUUGGAUUCAUUGAGACAAAAUAAUGGGCAGCACCCAUGGCAUUGUCGGGUAAGUAAUUAGUGUGGUAGGAAGCCCCUCACCUCUUCCACCCUUAUUAAUGUAUACCUGUCAUCGGAUGUUCUCUUCCGGUCUACCAUCUUCCUCCCCUCUCUUCUUCUCUCUUUCUCCAACAAAAUCCAAACAAAGGGUUGGGAUUAGGGAUUCAAAACCAUGGCCUACAUCCCUCCCCAUAAUCGCCACUCCAAGGACACCGAGAAGCCCAUGCUGGUCCCAACUCCCUCAUCAGUAGCUUUAAGAAGAGCCUCAACCUUGGCUCUAGAUCAAUCCUGGCGGCCAGGGCCGGCGGGAGUGGGCCAACUCCUCUGACCAUGGCGGCGGCAACAAGAUCUUCUAUGCUGCCCAUUUCAUGUCGUGAUGGUGGCCUGCCAUCAGCGGCUAGCCGAUCCCUGCCACCUUUCGCCUGGAGCCUUUCUCGUGUGAGAUUGUUGAGAGGAGCGUCAGAAACCUCGGGUCCAAUCCGACGGCAAGGAUCCGCAUGCUCAGGCUAUGGGGAGGUGCACCCGUGCUAGUCGAUAAUUGAGACGAUCAGGCGGGACCUCCUCACUUGUGUGUAGAGUGCGAGGAACGAAAUGCCUUUCGGGAGAGAAGACUAAAUUAUCUUUUUGUGCUCGGUUAUGGAAAGUCUUCUUUUGUGGGUACAAGAAUGUCCUUUUUUUAUUCCCCAUCCUUAUUUUUACGCAGGUAAGUGCUAUCUCUAUAAAAUUAAAAAAUUAACUUUUUGAAUUGUACGCUUACAUUGUUCUAUAUUUGCUAGUUUUUGGUGCACUUUUUUUUUGAAAUCUUGAUCUUUCUUUGCAUUCUCGUGCUUAAUAGAGCUGAUUGGAAGCAAGUGAAAGUAACAAUUAAACAAAUGUUUCAAUAUUUAAAAUAAAAAGUUGUUGGUAGAUUUAUUUUGUGCUGAAUAGUUAGCUUGGUCCAUCCAUUGAAAUAGAUCGUUCAACUUGCCCCUCUUGCAUUGCAACCUUCGAGCAUAUUGAAAUCUUGAAAAUUUGAAAUAUAAGUAGUUCUUUCUAAUAAGUGGUGAUUAACAUGAUGAUCAUGAUUGAAACUGUUAGAAUUUAUAAACCAAAUUAAUAUUAUCUUGUUAUUAGUAAUGACCUUUAGUAUUUUCUAUGAAAUUUACUUAAAUUUUCUCACAUAUAUUAAACCGUGUCACUUAUAUAAAAGUCAAAAAUAUAGCUCGUAGUAUUUUGUGUAGAAGAUAGUUGAAGAGUUGUAAAAUCUUUUAUAUAAAAGGAUGUACUUGAGCCAUUUUGGAUCAAGAGAGUUAAACAAAUUUCAAACAAAUUUAAAAAUUUUCUUCUAUAAAUAGGUCUACUCUCUUCAUCUCUUAUGUGAGAAAUACUAUAAAUACUCAUUUGCACCUCUAUCUACCAUAACAAAGUGGUAUCAGAGCCCUUUUGGACAAAGAUGGCAAGUGGGUUGCAACUUCAAGUACUUUGCCUCACCAAUGAGAACUACGAGAAUUGGAGCACCUAGAUGAAGGCACUGUUCGGCUUUCAUGAUAUUUGGGAAGUAGUAGAGAGAGGCUAUAAGAAGUCUCAAGAUGAAACAAAUGCUGCAACAAACCAAACUUUCAAGAAGUUGAGGAGGAAGGACAAAGAGGUGCUCUUCUUCAUUAUCAAGUAUGAGAUGAAUCAAAUUUUGAGAAGGUUGCAAGAGCCACUACCUCCAAACAAGCAUGGGAGAUCCUUGAGAAUACUGAUAAAGACAUAGAAGAGGUGAAGAAGGUUCGGCUCCAAACACUCCAAGCUGAAUUUGAAGCAUUGCAGAUGAAAGAGUCCGAAACCAUUUCGGACUAUUUCAAUUGAGUAUUUUCCUUGGUGAACCAAGGAGGAAUGGCCAGAAAUUGGAGAAUAUCCAUGUAGUCGAAAAAAUUCUAUGUUUGGUGAAUGACAAGUUCAAGCACAUUGUUGUAGCCAUUGAAGCAUCAAAAGACCUGAAAUCUAUGUUUAUGGAUGAGCUUAUAGGCUCAUUGUUAGCAUAUGAGCAAAUAAUUGUUAGCAUAUGAGCAAAGAAAAAAAUAAGAUGAAGCAAGAUAGAAUUGAGCAAGUCCUCCAGUCAAAGUUGUCUUUGUAGGAUAGAAAAGAAGCUUUUAAAAGCAAUAAGAGUCCAAGUGACUGAGGUCAAGGCCAAGGUCAUGGACGUAGCCGUGGCUGUGGCUGUGGCCGUGGUCGUGGGCAAUGAAAAAGAUAUGAAGAAAGAAAAAGCCCAAAUGGUGGAUAAGGGAGAGGAGAAACAGCAGCUCAAAGGUAUAGCAAAUUUAAAGUUUGUUGUUAUAUUUGUAAAAAAAUGACCAUUAUGCUUUUAAAUGUUAUUAUAAUAAAGAUAAUUAAAAUAAAGACAAAGCCAACUUUAUUUAGAAAAUGAAGAACAAGAUUCUCUCUUGUUGAUAGCUUACAAAAAAGAUGAAGCCAGCAAGUAUGACAGUUGGUACUUGGACAUGGGAGCAAAUAACCUAAUGUGCAACCAUAGAAGCAUGUUUGUGGAGAUAGAUGAAUCGAUUGAAACUCAAGUCUGUUUUGGCAAUUCUUCAAAAAAUUUUAGUGAAAGACAAAGGUAAAAUCCUUAUUCAUCUCAAAGAUAGAUGCCGCCAAUUUAUUUUUAAUGUCUAUUAUGUACCAAAAAUGAAAACAAAUAUAUUAAGUUUUUAUUAGAGAAAGGUUAUGAUGUUCAUAUGAACGACUAGAAGUGUUGCAUUAAAAAUGGCUCACAUAAUGUGAUUUCCAAGUAGAAAUGUCGAAAAAUAGAAUUUUCAUUCUAAGUAUUAAAAUUGAUGUGGCAAAAUGCUUGAAAAGUUGUAUCAAAAAUUUCUCAUGGCAUCACACUUGACAUUUGGACAUCUCAACUUUGAUGAUCUUAAUCUUUUGUCAAGCAAAAAGAUGGUGCACGACUUGACGCAUAGACCAUCCCAAGCAACUUUGUGAAGGGUGUGUUAGGCAAACAAUCCAGAAGUUUUUCCCAAGAGGCAUGAUUUAGAGCAAGAUGGCCACUCCAACUUAUACAGAUGUUUGUGGACCCAAAAUCCCAACAUCUUUUGGUAAACACCAAUACUUUUUCAUUUUUAUUGAUGAUUGUACAAGAAAGACUUGAGUAUAUUUUUUGAAGGAAAAAUUGUAAGUUGUCAGUAUAUUCAAAAAGUUCAAGGCAAUAGUGGAGAAUGAAAGUGGCUAUUCAAUCAAAGCUACCUGAUCAGAUCAGAGUUGCAAGUUCAUCUUGAAGGUAUUUAAAGAAUUUUGUGAAGAACAUAGUGUUUGGCAUCAACUAACAGUACCUUAUUCCCUCCAACAAAAUAGUGUGGUUGAGAGAAAGAAUGUACUAUUCUCAACAUGGUGCGAAUUAUGCUCAAAAGUAAGAAUUUACUGAAAGAGUUUUGGGCCGAGGCAGUGGUUUGUGCUGUCUACAUUCUGAAUAGGUGCUCUACAUCAAGUUUGGAGAAGAAGAUGCUAUAAGAAGCAUGGUCCAAAAGGAAGCCGAAUAUCUCUUACUUGAAUACUUUCGGGUGCAUCGCUCAUGCGCAUGUUUCCAAGCAAAGGAGGUCCAAAUUGGAUGACAAAAGCUCUAAAUUUAUCUUUAUUAGGUAUAAUUCUAAAUCUAAGGCCUAUAAAUUAUUUGACCCUUACAAUUCUAAAAUUAUUGUAAGUAGAGAUGUGGAGUUUGAUGAAGGAGCAUGGGAUUGGCACAACAAGAUUGAAGAAAUGCAAGAAGAACAUAUGAACAUGGAGCUUCUAGAGCUGUCGCUACAAUCUUCACCAAUACCUUCUGUUUCAUCAUCAUCAGAAGAAGAUAGUUCAAGGCCGAACCAAAAGAUAAGAAGCUUAAGAGAACUCUACGAGCUUACCAAUCAACUCCAUCUUAUUUAUCUCUUUACAUAUUAUGAGCCUUUAAAGUUUGAAGAUGCCAUAAAAGACAAAAGAUAAAAAGAUGCUAUGGACAAAGAAAUCAAAGCAAUAGAGAAGAACCACACAUGAGAGUUGAAUUCUCUUUUCAAAGGACAAAAGACUGUUGGAGUUAAGUGGGUGUGCAAGGCAAAGAAGAAUGCAUAGGGCCAAAUUAGAAAGUACAAAGCAAGAUUGGCGGCAAAAGGAUACAAGCAAAAGGUCGGCAUCGAUUAUUAUGAGGUAUUCACCCCAUUAUUCAAACAGAAAUAAUUUGUUUAAUUAUUUUACUUGCUGCACAAAAUGGUUGGUCUAUUUUUCAAAUGGAUGUUAAAUCUACUUUUUUAAAUGGCUAUGUUGAUGAAGAGGUAUAUGUAGAAUAAUCCUAGGGGUAUGUUAAAAAAGGACAAGAAUAGACCUUGUAUGGCCUUAAAAAAGCACCUAAGGAAUGGAUGCUAGGAUGUUCUGCUCCUUAUGACAGCUUCUUUGCUUCGAGGAAGAGAAGUGCCUCUAAGAACAACGAGAUAGAAGAAAAAAAUAUGCUAUUGUUGGUAUUUAAUAUAGAAAAAUAAGAAAUUAUAACUUCAAAUUACUUUUCUAAUGACUAAUCAUCCCUGUUUAUAUUAGCAAGAUUUUUUGAACCUAUUCAUGAAUGUAUCUACAUUCAUUUCUUGUUAAAAGUAUAAAAGAUUUUUACAAACAAAGGAAAGAGAUCAUCCUUAUAAUCUACUAGAAUUUGAUUAUAUGAGCUAUCCUUUCGAAUCUAUCUAGAUUUGAUGAUAUCGGUCAUAUCUGAUCAUAUCUUCAAGAUUUUAUAAUAUGUCAAGAUUUAAUUAUAUCAGUCAUUCUUUCAAGUCUAUUUAGAUUUCAUGAUAUCAGCCAUAUUUGAUCAUAGCUUCAAGAUUUAUUUUACUAGCUUAUAGUAGCCUUCUAAAUUGGUUUAAAUCCAAGCUUGAUGUCAAAUCCCUCUACUCCCUUGGUUAGCCUUUGACAUAUACCUAUGCUAUAGUACCGUCGAGUACUAUAUAAGUUGUAAUAGUCCCUUCUUUAGUUUUAUCUUGUCCCCAAGGUGCAAUGUGAGGGAAUCGAAAAUGCCAACUGACACAACUAAUAAUGCCCAUUCGCCCAGCUCCUGAAGUUAUUUUGACAUUUCAUGUUAGGUCGUUUAUGGUGAUGGCUCUACAUGUUAUUUCGAUAUUUCAUGUUAUUUCGAUCUCUCUUGAUGCUGUCGUCUCCCUUUUCGUCCUCCAUCAUUAUCGAGACUUGAUCCGAUCACAUCUGAAAUACCGUGGUAGGAGGCAGGUGUAAAGUUUCUUGCCAAUCUUAUCAGGAGGUCUGUGGUGUUGUAACUCUUUAAGUGAAAUCCUAUUAAGAGGUUUGUGGUGGUCAAGAAUGUUGGUAGUAUGCGUCGGAGGUAAAUCUUGGACAAAAUUAGUCCCUUCCUAUUCAAAAUCUAUAUCUGAUUAGCCACCCCCAUAGAAAAAACUAAUAGAGGCCAAAGGUGUAGUAUAAGGGGCAGUAUAAGUCCCAAAUAUCAUGGAUAGUGCAGAAACAGUUGCAAAGCUGAUGCAGUGCUAAUUGGUGCUGAUCUAGAUAUCGAUUGAUGCCAAAAAUAUAAUUUGGGCCUCCUUGAAGGCGGUCGAUUAUAGACUAAUGAGCUACUUGCUGUCUGAUAGCAUGACGAUGUAAGUGAAUCUCCAACAACCUCAAUGGUCAAGUUAGGAUGACUGAUUAUUUGGGGUACCAUCAUAGUGGUUUCCCUUCCCAUAUGAGAAUCGAGCGCUUGUGAGAAGUUCACCUCUCCUUUGGUAAACACUGGAGGGGAUAUGAUAUUUUCAAGUCAUUGAAUCUUACUUGUUUCAUUUUGGAUUGGGGCGAUAGGACUAAGGGAAUCCAGCACAAUUGUCUUGUAUGGGAGCAUCAAAGUGUGUUGAUAAAUGCUCUCCUCUUCGCCGGCUGGAAAUUUUCUCUUGUGAAGAGUCUCUUUAGUACGAUGCAUGGACAUCCAUCAGGGUUUAUAUCACUUUUGCUAGGUUGGUUUGGCUCACCAUAAAAAUUCAAAAUAUCAUCUCGAGCGAUGGUUGCUCUGAGGGUUGAUCAUUAUGAUAAGUUACCUCCAUCAUGUCCUUGAUUGCCAUAAAGGAUUCGGUUGAUGUAUUCGUCGGUGAAGAUCGUCGGAGUUAGUAUACCAGUAAUGGAAUCAAUUUGUUAGGAUAUUUUGCUUCUAAUGAUGGCUUCUCCACUUCGAGGAAGAAAAGUACCUCCAAGAACCAUGAGAUAGAAGAAAAACUUAUGCUAUUCCUGGUAUUUAAUGCAAACAAUAAAAAAUUACAACUUUAGAUUGCUCUUCUAAUGAUCAGGCACCCUUAUUUAUGUUAGCAAGAUCCUUUGAACCUAUCCAUUAAUGCAUCUACAUUCAUUUCUUGCUAAAAGGGUAAGAUUUUUACAAAUAAGAAGAAAGAAUCAUCUUUGCAAUCUGCUAGGAUUUGAUUAUAUCAGCCAUCUUUCUGAAUCUAUUUAGAUUUGAUAAUAUCAGCCAUAUUUGAUCAUAUCUUCAAGAUUUUAUAAUUUAUCAAGAUUUGAUUAUAUCAAUCAUUCUUAUAAAUCUUUCUAGAUUUGAUGAUAUCAGCCAUAUUUGAUCAUAUCUCCAAGAUUUCUUUUACCAACUUAUACUAGCCUUCUAAAUUGAUUUAAAUUCAAGUCUGAUGUCAAAUCCCUUUGCUCUCUUGGUCAGCCUUGGAUAUAUGCAUAUGCUACAGUACCAUCGGCUACUAUAUAAAUUGUAACAAUAGAAUGCAAGAAUUGAUGCUUUCUUUAAGCAAAAUGGUUAUAUCCAAAAUCCAUAUGAAAGUGCUCUCUACAUGAAGUUAAAUAAGCAUCAUGAUAUCUUGCUUGCUUGUAUGUAGAUGAUUUUAUCUUUGUAGGAAAUAAUCCAUACAUGUUUGAAGAAUUGAAAAAAAAAUAUGGUUCGUGAAUUUGGGAUGAUGGAUAUCAGGCUUAUGUCAUUCUUUCUCGGCAUUGAAGUGAAGCAAAGUGAAGAGAGUAUCUUCAUCUCACAAAAAGCAUAUGCAAAAGUGCUUAAAAGAUUCAAAAUGGAAGAUUGUACACCAGUUGGUACACUGGUGGGAUGUGGCAUAAGCUCUCGAAGCAAGAUGAUGGCAGGAUAAUUGAUCUUACUUCAAAAGUUUAGUUGGAAGCUAAGAAAUUUGACAUAUACAAGGCCAGAUAUUUUAUAUAGUGUUGGGCUAGUGAAUCGAUAUAUGGAGGAGCCCAUGUCAAUGUAUUUCAAAGCCACCAAAAGAAUUCUUCGCUGCAUCAAAGGUACACUAAGUCAUGGCGUGUUAUAUUCUUUCCCUAAUGAAUUUCAACUUGUUGGUUAUUCAGAUAGUGAUUAGGGUGGAGUUCUUGAUGACCAAAAGAGCACAACAGGCUUUGGGUUCUAUAUGGGAGAUACGCCUUUCACUUGGCUUUCGGAGAAGCAACCUAUAGUUGCUUUUUCUACAUGUGAAGCAAACUAUGUAGCUGCAUCUUUAUGCGUGUGCCAUGCGGUGUGGCUAAAAAAGUUGUUGAAAGAAAUUCGAUAUUUUUAAAUUGAAGCUACAAAGAUCUAUGUAGACAACAAGUCUGCAAUAGCAUUGCAAAGAACCCUAUCCAUUAUGCAUGAAGCAAGCACAUCGAUGUUUUUUUCCAUUUUAUUAGAGAUUAAAUGAAAGAAAAGAAGGUUCAAUUAGAGUACAUCAAGUCUGAAGAUCAAGUUGCUGACGUUUUCACCAAGCCCUUUAAUUCAGAAUUAUUUCACAAAAUGCAGACAUUGCUUGGAAUGGUUAAUGGCCAAAAAUUUGGUUUAAGAGGGGGUGUUGGAAUUUAUAAAUCAAAUUAAUAUUAUCUUAUUAUUAGCAAUGACCUUUAGUAUUUCCUAUGAAAUUCACUUAAAAUUUCUCUACAUGUAUAAAACCAAAAUAUCACUUAUAUAAAAAUAAAAAAUAUAGCUCUUAGUAUUUUGUGUAGAAGGCGGUUGAAGAGUUAUAAAAUUCUCUAUAUAAAGGAAUGUGCUUAAGCCAUUUUGGAUCACGAGGGUAGAAGAAAUUUCAAACAAAGUUAAAAGUUCUCUUCUACUAAUAGGUUUACUCUUUUCAUCUCUUGUGUGAGAAAUAUUAUAAAUACUCCUCUGCUCCUCUAUCUACCAUAACACACUAUGAAAAUGAGAAUUCUGGAGAAUAAAUUGAUCAAAAAAGUGAUAGAUACUUCCUUUUUAUAGUAAACUAAUUUCUGUGUUUUUAAUAUAUUCUGCUGAUGAAAUAUUAUUCAUGCAUAUGAAUCCCAGAAAUGCCAGCUCUUGUUGUGCUGUAAGUAUGAUUCAUGCACUGAGAAUAACAAGAUGUGGGUUCAAAAGAAGUCAUUGAGAACAAGAAGACUUGCCUUCACCAACAUUUUAAGAGUAGGUCGCUGAUUUAGUGCAGUGAUGGUGAUGGAUUGGGAAGGCAGUAAUUGCUAGCUAUGCAGUGGGUCCACCGAAAGAUUCUUCAGUGGAGGGAAAAACUGAGCCUUCAUUAAUAUUGGAAUAAUAAACUUAAUAGACUAGUCCAUAUGGAAGUUUGCUGAAACAAAUUAGGGAGUAGGUAGAUGCUUGAUCGCCAGAGUAGACUUAUGGUAAACUCAGUGCCUCAUCACAUAUGCAAAUAAUUUUCUAGGUUGGAUAUGGCUGGAUUGGCAAAUUUUGAGAUGCAUGAACUACUGAUGUACUGGUGGAUCUCGAAUAACUUUGCUGGUUGACCGUUGAAAUGAGGAAGAUAAUGGUGAAUUCACUUGUACAUAUAGCUAGUAGAUUCAGUCUCCCACAAUUAUGCAUACUGGGUCCUGCACAGGUCUAAAGAGGUUGCAUGAAGUAAAGCUUGUUAUAUGAACAAUAUGGUGCAAGAGGAUGAGCUACACACAAUAGAAUCAUCCAAUGAUAGGGUAAAAUCUUAAUGACUCACCACAAAUGUAUUGUUUAUGCUUUCUAUACUUGGUAAAAAAAAAAAUGAUUAGGCUGCAAAGGUAGAUUGUAGGGU